This 305-nucleotide ribosomal RNA is filed under the name uncultured bacterium. RNAcentral describes it as "bacterial SSU rRNA". It matches the Rfam family "Bacterial small subunit ribosomal RNA", at positions 335 to 638 of the family's 1533-position model. The record is from RNAcentral.
UACCUACGGGAGGCAGCAGUGAGGAAUAUUGGUCAAUGGACGAGAGUCUGAACCAGCCAAGUAGCGUGAAGGAUGACUGCCCUAUGGGUUGUAAACUUCUUUUAUAUGGGAAUAAAAUGCUCCACGUGUGGGAUUUUGUAUGUACCAUAUGAAUAAGGAUCGGCUAACUCCGUGCCAGCAGCCGCGGUAAUACGGAGGAUCCGAGCGUUAUCCGGAUUUAUUGGGUUUAAAGGGAGUGUAGGUGGAUUGUUAAGUCAGUUGUGAAAGUUUGCGGCUCAAAGGUAAAAUUGAAGUUGAAAUUGGAA